This 91-nucleotide transfer RNA is filed under the name Methanosaeta sp. PtaB.Bin018. RNAcentral describes it as "tRNA-Leu". It matches the Rfam family "tRNA". From Rfam's summary of the family: Transfer RNA (tRNA) molecules are approximately 80 nucleotides in length. Their secondary structure includes four short double-helical elements and three loops (D, anti-codon, and T loops). The record is from RNAcentral. RNAcentral also lists the same sequence under 1 other name. Lineage: Archaea; Methanobacteriati; Methanobacteriota; Methanomicrobia; Methanotrichales; Methanotrichaceae.
GCGUCGAUGGUCUAGUGGUUAUGACUUGGGCCUUCCAAGCAGACUUAUGCGGAGCAAGCCUACAACCCGGGUUCGAAUCCCGGUCGACGCA